This 441-nucleotide unclassified non-coding RNA is filed under the name Zea mays. RNAcentral describes it as "misc RNA Zm00001eb271650". Lineage: Eukaryota; Viridiplantae; Streptophyta; Magnoliopsida; Poales; Poaceae. The record is from RNAcentral.
ACUCCAGUGCGCCGCCGACCCUAAAAAUUCCAGUGCGCCGCCGCCGCCAUGCUCAGAGUCCAGAGCCUCCAGCCUCCAGUGCCCACUCCCCACUGCGCUGCUCUGCGCAACCAACGCAAGCCGCUAGUGCCCAGUGCAGAGCAACAGAGCAAGACACUAGUGCCCUCACCUGUCACUGCGCUCUGGCAGCUCUGCUCUGCCUCACUUCUGCUGAGCAAGACCAGCAGCUGAGCAGCCACUCCGCAAGACCAGCAGCCAGCCUCAAAUUGAAUUUGUUGAUUUUGCUCACAUUGAAUCAAUCUUUAUUUGCUGACAGUGAAUUUCAAUGGCAACAAAUAGCGAGGCAACAAAUAGUGUUGUUGAACUUGAUCUUUUUCUUUUUAUGCUAAUGCUAUUUUGUUUGUGAACUCAACUUAUGUAUGAAAUUAUUCUAUAUUUGAA